This 171-nucleotide non-coding RNA is filed under the name uncultured Ferdinandcohnia sp. RNAcentral describes it as "Lysine riboswitch". It matches the Rfam family "Lysine riboswitch aptamer". From Rfam's summary of the family: Riboswitches are metabolite binding domains within certain messenger RNAs that serve as precision sensors for their corresponding targets. Allosteric rearrangement of mRNA structure is mediated by ligand binding, and this results in modulation of gene expression. This family includes riboswitches that sense lysine in a number of genes involved in lysine metabolism, including lysC. Lineage: Bacteria; Bacillati; Bacillota; Bacilli; Caryophanales; Bacillaceae. The record is from RNAcentral.
GAUGAUAGAGGUGCGAUUUUUAUCAGUAUGCAAUAGGAGGGGAAUGAGCCCCUAUGAUUAUUGUAGAAAGGAAAGGUCGCCGAAGUAAAAAAGGGCUCAUACCUUUUUUGCUGGUCUUAUGUUUAAGAGACAUAAGAUUGUCAAGAUGAGUUAAUCUUGGAGGGCUAUCUC